Molecule: ribosomal RNA, 274 nt
Filed under: uncultured bacterium
Lineage: Bacteria
Description: partial 16S ribosomal RNA
Rfam family: Bacterial small subunit ribosomal RNA
Source: RNAcentral
AUACGGAGGGGGCUAGCGUUGUUCGGAAUUAUUGGGCGUAAAGGGCGCGUAGGCGGCCGCGCAAGUCGGAGGUGAAAUCCCUCAGCUCAACUGAGGAACGGCCUCCGAUACUGCAUGGCUUGAGUCCCGGAGAGGGUAGUGGAAUUCCCAGUGUAGCGGUGAAAUGCGUAGAUAUUGGGAGGAACACCAGUGGCGAAGGCGACUACCUGGACGGUGACUGACGCUGAGGUGCGAAAGCGUGGGGAGCAAACAGGAUUAGAAACCCCAGUAGUCC